AUCAAUAAGCGGAGGAAAAGAAACUAACAAGGAUUCCCCUAGUAACUGCGAGUGAAGCGGGAAAAGCUCAAAUUUAAAAUCUGGCAGAUGUUUGUCUGUCCGAGUUGUAACCUAGAGAAGUGUAACCUGUGCUGGACCGUGUACAAGUCUCUUGGACAUAGAGCAUCAUAGAGGGUGGGAAUCCCGUCUUUGACAUGGACUACCAGUGCAUUGUGGUUGCGCACUCAACGAGUCGAGUUGUUUGGGAAUGCAGCUCUAAAUGGGUGGUAAAUUCCAUCUAAAGCUAAAUAUUGGCGAGAGACCGAUAGCGAACAAGUACCGUGAGGGAAAGAUGAAAAGAACUUUGGAAAGAGAGUUAAACAGUAUGUGAAAUUGUUGAAAGGGAAACGCUUGAAGUCAGCUGCAUUGGCUGGGAAUCAAGCCAGCUUAUUUGCUGGGUGUACUUCCUGGUUGAUGGGCCAACAUCAGUUUUGACCAUCAGAGAAAGGCUAAGGGAAUGUGGCACCUU
Molecule: ribosomal RNA, 508 nt
Filed under: Amanita verna (spring destroying angel)
Lineage: Eukaryota; Fungi; Basidiomycota; Agaricomycetes; Agaricales; Amanitaceae
Description: partial large subunit ribosomal RNA
Rfam family: Eukaryotic large subunit ribosomal RNA
Source: RNAcentral